This 372-nucleotide unclassified non-coding RNA is filed under the name Hevea brasiliensis (rubber tree). Lineage: Eukaryota; Viridiplantae; Streptophyta; Magnoliopsida; Malpighiales; Euphorbiaceae. The record is from RNAcentral.
UGCGAGUAUUAUUUUAUGCUAUUGCAGAAUGGGUUUAAUUUGUAAAAUACAAAAUAAUAUGUAGAUAACAGAAGGGGUAGAAAAAGGCAUGACAAUGUCAGAAGCCUCAGUGUGCGCCCUCAGAAACCCAGCCCGAGACCAUACUCUCAUCCAUAGGCUUUAGGCCACCACAUGAUCUCGCCACUGAUUCAAAGAGCUUUUCAAUCUCUGGUGCACAUCGUAUGAAGGAUCGAUUCCAGAAGUUGUAUCUAGGAUUCUUAAUGAGCUCGAUGAAAGUAAUCAGAAGGCCCCAUGGAUGUGGUCGAUUAACUAUUAAGCGUUCCAAAAGGACUCUUGUGAUCUGCUCCUGAAUAAUUUCCUGGUUUGAUUCUG